This 163-nucleotide microRNA precursor is filed under the name Pelobates cultripes (western spadefoot toad). Lineage: Eukaryota; Metazoa; Chordata; Amphibia; Anura; Pelobatidae. The record is from RNAcentral.
GGUCAGCUGACACAUGCCUGCCAAUCUCCGGCAGACCCUCCCUCCUAGACCCUCCUACUUCCUGGACAGCAUCCAUGUUGAAGGCAGCUUCAACAUGGAUGCUGUCCAGGAGGUGGGAGGGUCUGGGAGGGAGGGUCUGCCGGAGAUUGCAGGGAUGUGUCAG